This 1454-nucleotide long non-coding RNA is filed under the name Papio anubis (olive baboon). RNAcentral's name for it is "lncRNA (ENSPANG00000037551.1)". Lineage: Eukaryota; Metazoa; Chordata; Mammalia; Primates; Cercopithecidae. The record is from RNAcentral.
GAGCAAAAUGCCUGUUAACCGAAGUUUGAUUAAGAUUCUCUCCCUUCCCCAGGUCCCUGAACUUUGGCCUACCCUCAGCCUGUGUGAGUGAUAGAGAUAGGAGGCAGCCAAGGGUCCCCGGAGAAACCCCGCCUUCAAGCCUAAAACAGCUUGAAGGCUGAAAAACCAAACUGCCGGUCCCAGAUGAAGCCCACCCUUUUCCCGACUGAUUCGUUCUGAAUAAUGCGCACAUGCGCACUAGCGAGGACAGGCUGGAGCCUCUCGAAGUUUGCGCCCUUUGCAGGGGGGAGGAGCCUGGCCUCUCCAGUUCCUGUGUGGUAACCUGAGAUUCAAUCUGUGAGGCAGGAAACCUGCUAGCAGGGCUCUCUCUCUCUUUGCUGUGGGUUCCUGUUUACCUUUUUCUUAUAUUUUUUCCUUUUCAUCCAAUAAAUUCCAUUCCCCCUCACCCGUCAAAGUGUCUGUGUGCCUAACUUUUACUGGUUGUAUGACAAGAACCCAGUGUUUUCUACAACAUUUUUGGCGUCCGGACGUGGGGCUUGAAGAAGGGAGAAGGAGGGGAGAGGAAAAGAAAAAGGAAGUAAGAUCGAGAAGCUGUGGGGCCAAAGAAUGGAACAGAAUGUUGCAAUGGAGUGCUGAUUACUCUUCAGCACCAUUCUGGGAAGGAAAUGCCAAGACCACUCCCAUCUCUCAGAAUUACUCAUCUGAGCACAGACAACUGGCUCGGUGGAGAAUUAAUCCUGUAUGUUUUACAGUUCAGCUAAAACCAAAGUGGAUCUGUUGUUUUCCUUGCCCUAAAACUGAAGAUAAAAUUUUGUUAAAAUGGGAACGGUUAUUUCUAAAUGAAGGAAUGUUGGUUAACAGGUAAUUUUGCCCUUGUGCCACCUCUAAAGAUUCAAAUAUAAGAAAUAUUAUUUGUAGUGACCCUUUACAAAUAGAUCAACCACAAAAACAAAGAUUCUUGUAGCUGGCAUAUAUGUGAAUUUAUGAUCUGGAUCAGAGAAAACAUUUUAAAAACAACAAGAUUCAUUUAAUUAAAUACAUAUUUUCUUAAAACAAAAUUUAUCAAAUCAUAAGGAAUUUCACCAUUUCUGUAAUAACUUAUGAUGGAAAAUUCUGUGUCAUGCAAAUGCUAAGAAUGAUCUUCCCAGGUUCUCCCCUCCCUAUCUAUUUGAUUCUAUUUUUAUUGUUGUUUCUCUUGAAUGACACAAUUGAUCCAAUAAGCAGCGCCAUCUUUGUAUUAUCCAUUUGAUGACCCUAAGGACUUUAUUAAUAAUUUUCAAUCUGGCCUUUUUUAAUAAGUAGGCACAGUCACAGACAGUAAAAUUAAAAUAUCAACUAUUCCCUUUUGUAAAUAUGAAACAUCUGAGAUCCACCGCAUUAUAUGUGGAAUAAGGUUAGAUAAAAUUUACAUUUAGAAAAAACGUACCCCUGUCUUCAUUCAACCACUCACAAAC